RNAcentral lists this ribosomal RNA (261 nucleotides) under Triticum aestivum (bread wheat). RNAcentral describes it as "partial small subunit ribosomal RNA". The record is from RNAcentral. Lineage: Eukaryota; Viridiplantae; Streptophyta; Magnoliopsida; Poales; Poaceae.
GUGAAUGGUGAGAAGAAGGUGCAUUGGAUAGCAUGGGACAAAAUGUGCACGAGGAAUCAUGAAGGAGGACUGGGGUUCAGAGAUCCAGAGGUGUUUAACCAAGCGUUUCUCACAAAGCAGGCUUGGCGGAUGCUACAGAGUCCAAACUCUCUCUGUGCACGUGUUCUCAAAGCUCGGUACUUCCCUGAUAGUUCAAUUCUGAGUGCAACAUGCCCUCAAGGGGGGUCUUUCACUUUCAGGAGCAUAAUCCAUGGAAGAAAU